GGGUUGUGAGGUUAAGCGACUAAGCGUACACGGUGGAUGCCCUGGCAGUCAGAGGCGAUGAAGGGCGUACUAAUCUGCGAUAAGCGCCGGUAAGGUGAUAUGAACCGUUAUAACCGGCGAUACCCGAAUGGGGAAACCCAGUGUGAUUCGUCACACUAUCAUUAACUGAAUCCAUAGGUUAAUGAGGCGAACCGGGGGAACUGAAACAUCUAAGUACCCCGAGGAAAAGAAAUCAACCGAGAUUCCCCCAGUAGCGGCGAGCGAACGGGGAGGAGCCCAGAGCCUGAAUCAGCAUGUGUGUUAGUGGAAGCGUCUGGAAAGGCGCGCGAUACAGGGUGACAGCCCCGUACACAAAAGCGCAUGUGCUGUGAGCUCGAUGAGUAGGGCGGGACACGUGGUAUCCUGUCUGAAUAUGGGGGGACCAUCCUCCAAGGCUAAAUACUCCUGACUGACCGAUAGUGAACCAGUACCGUGAGGGAAAGGCGAAAAGAACCCCGGCGAGGGGAGUGAAAAAGAACCUGAAACCGUGUACGUACAAGCAGUGGGAGCCCCACCACCAAAGCAUUUGCUGUACCGCGUUGACGGAGCGAAGCGACGUCAAACCGA
This 606-nucleotide ribosomal RNA is filed under the name Salmonella enterica subsp. enterica serovar Enteritidis. Its description in RNAcentral is "partial 23S ribosomal RNA". It matches the Rfam family "Bacterial large subunit ribosomal RNA", at positions 1 to 584 of the family's 2925-position model. Lineage: Bacteria; Pseudomonadati; Pseudomonadota; Gammaproteobacteria; Enterobacterales; Enterobacteriaceae. The record is from RNAcentral.